GCUCUUUUCUUGCCUGCUGCCAAUGUGAGAUGUGCCUUUCACUUUCCACCAUCAUUAUGAGGCCUCCCCAGCCAUGUGGAACUGUUUGUCCAAUAGAACAUAAAACUGUGACGCUUGAAGAUAAACGUGACCUUGACCAGCCCUGAGGAACUUCAGGACUGAAUCCUGCAGUAGAAGCAAGAACAGGCUAUUGGGAGACUCUGGUCCUCAACUGCACAAAGAAGGGCCCAUAUCCUCAACUCUGCCACAGACCUCUUUGAUUCCAGUUGGAAGCCUGGAGAUUUCACUGCUGCUGAGGAGGGUUCCAGGGACUGGGAAACCUGAGCUGUGAGCUGAGCUUGGGUGAUCUGUUUCCAUCUGUGGUCUGGUGCUGAUGGUUUCCAAGGCAGGAAUCAAGUCAGUCCUUGAAGAGCUACAACAGAGCAAAAGUGCAGGUAAACAAAGCAACACGAAGGCUAAAUAAAAGUCAUUUCCCCAAGCAAAAUAAGGGUAGGGACCUUCAGAUGGACAGAUUAGCCUGGAUUAAGCAGAUGGAGAAGCCGAGGAUCAAGGAUCGGGCCAGGAGCCAAGGAAUACUGCCACCUCUAGAAGUUGGGAACGGCCCUCAGCUUACAGCCACUAAGAAAAGGGGGAUUUUGGCCCUCUAGCUGCAAGGAAUCUAAUUCCACUUGAAUUAACAAGGAACAUCCAGGCAGGAAUGUAGCCCUGACAACACCCUAAUUUAGGCCAGUCAGGCCCGGACAGACUUCUGACCCACGGAAUUCUAAAAUAAUUUGUGUUUCUUAAACCAUCAAAUUUGUUGUAAUUUGUUAUGGUAGCAACAGGAAUCAAAUAUACCUCUCUACUUUUACAAGA
RNAcentral lists this long non-coding RNA (855 nucleotides) under Homo sapiens (human). RNAcentral's name for it is "novel transcript". The record is from RNAcentral. Lineage: Eukaryota; Metazoa; Chordata; Mammalia; Primates; Hominidae.